ACUGCACUCCAGCCUGGGCGACAGACCAAGACUCUGUCUCAAAAAAAAAAAAAAGUUAUAGUUUAAUUUUUAAGGUUAAUUUAUUAUUGAAGAAAAAUUUUUAAUGAGUUUAGUGUAGCCUAGGUGUACACUAGGUGUUUAUAGAGUCUACGAUAGUGUACAGUCAUGUCCUAGGCCUUCACAUUCACUCAUCACUCACUAACUCACACAGAGCAACUUCUGGUCCUGCAAACUCCAUUCGUGUUGAGUGUCCUAUGUAGGUGUAUUACUUUAUAUCUUUUGUACUAUAUUUUUACUGUAUUUUUUCUUUGUUUAGAAAUGUUUGGAUACACAAACACUAGUGUGUUACAAUUGCCUACAGUAUUCAUUCAGUACAGUAACAUGCUGUUGCAACCUAGAAGCAAUAAGCUACACCAUAUAGCCUAGGUGUGCAGUAGGCUACACCAUCUAGCUUUGUGUAAGUACAUUCUUUGAAGCUUGCACGAUGACAAAAUUGCCUAAUGACACAUUUCUCAGAACAUAACUCCAUCAUUAAGCUACAUAACUUAAACCCCUGCUAUGCAAUGAAACUCAGGUAGCAUAUUAAAAAAUAGAUAACUCAAGCAUUGCAUACAGAGAAGCCAUUCUUGGAACACCAGACAAUAAGCAUUGCAUUAGAUCAGAGCAGUUCUGGGCACAUCUAUGGUCAACAAGAAAUAUUCUCAAAGUCUGAACUUUGAGCUAUAGUAGACAGACAAACUAAGAAUUCCUCAAAGUUAGUAUUUCCAACCGUGAUGUAAGAGUCUAUUCUGAGUGUUGUGACAAACUAUCUCCAGAUCUCGCUAGAGUAACACAAUAAAGGUUUGUUUCUCACCCAUCACAGUCGGGUAUGGCUGUAUGAGGGAGGCGUGAGGAAGGAUCUGCUCCUCGCCCAUCACAGUCGGGUAUGGCUGUAUGAGGGAGGCGUGAGGAAGGCUCUGCUCCAUGCAUUCAUGGAAGUGGCCUUGAUCACCAGCCUAGCACUUCACUGGCAGGGCUCAGUCAAUGACAUCUAGUGGCUGGGAAGCUCGGAAAUGAGCUUUCCUUUGUGCUCAGAAGUAGGACUUGGGCGAACACAUAGCAGUAUCUCUGCUCCAUCCACAUAAACGGGCUCAGAACUUAAAUGGAAAGAGACGCUGAAGAGGGCAUCAAAUAUAUGAGAACUGGAACAGGGAAAGGAACAAAGAUCUGAACAGGAUCAGAUAGAGAUAUUUGCCUACAGACAAGUCCUUGGUUAAAAGACCGUGGAAAUUGAUUCUAGAACUAUAUAUUAUUUAUGGCUUGUGGGACGCAGAAAUGUGUUCUGGUUACCUGUGCAAUAAACUGUACAUACUUCUCAUUUCAGAGUUGGAGUCAAUCACUCUCUGUUGGCCUUUUUUGCUGUCUUUACAAAGUCAUGGGUUAACGAACCCUACUGGGUACUUCUAACAUGAGGUGUCUGGGCUGGGAGAGUCUUACUGGCAAUUGAUGUCAAGAUUCUUCGUCCAGAGGCACAGAGCAGAAAGGUUCUUGGUCCACAGACACCUUAAAACAAGGCCACCCUGGCCAGGUUUAUUCCCGUCUGGCGGCCUACACAUUUCUUAUAUCCUGGAAAAACUGGUGAGCAAGCAAGUGUCGACCUCAGAGUCUCUGACAGGGCUAUUUUGAAACCACACACCAUGAAAACUCUCAGGGAAGUUAAAAAACAAACAAUCAUAACCAAGGCAGUUUAGCUGUUUUGAAAAGAGAUGGAGCUUCAUUACUUCAAACCCAAAUUUCUGCAAGCCUGACAACCACCUUACAUCAAAAUAAACGUCUACCUGCUAGCUGAAAUGUUUAAAAACACAGGUUACCAUGUGAGGUAAGCAGAGCUGACCUUGACUGGCAUCUCUAUCAGCAGCUCAGUGGGAUUAAAUGGCUUGCCAAUGUCACAAGGAAUGUGAGCUCCUUUCUUCAUCUUUCUGCUCCAAUGUAGCAACUACCAAGGGGCCACCUGACAGAACAUGGCCGCUGCAGAGGAACCCUGCUACCUGCAGUUGGUGACAUGGCCUAGGUCCCAGAGGCCUCGUGGUGCCACACACACAAGAACAGGCACCAACAACCAGUGACAUUUUGACAGUCAAAUGGAACCUGUGACUGCCAUCUGUAGAUGUGCCAGCCAAGAAUGUGACCCUGGGGAAAGCCCUUCACACAGGUCUUUCCUUGGUGUAUUUAUAUUUAGUUCCAGCGAAAAACUGCAGUUGUUUUUCUCAGUGACAGGCAUCAAACGAUAACCGAAAAGAAUGAGAAAUAAUUGUUCCCUUUCUCCCUGUUAGGAGAUUGUACUCUUUGAAUUUGGGACCACAGCUCUCUGAACAGCUAGCUCUCCCAUGCCUGGCUCAUGAGACAUCAUAAAUGUUGAUUGUAUUAAAGACAAUUUAGAGGGAAAGGACUUGAAUUCUGGUUCUAAGCUAUUAAAAAUAUUUCUACAUUUUAAUUUUUAAAUUAAGAAAGAUUUUGUACAUAUGGAAAGGUGCAGAAUAUAAAACAGACAACCAUAUGCUUACCAUCCAGAUUAAACAACUGUUAACGUUUUCUCGUAUUUACUUCAGAUCACUUGAAACAAAAGAAAGACAAAAAGAUACGGCUAAAGCCUUGGCCCCCUUCACUCACAUCCCUCCCCUCCUCCCCUCUGCAGAGCAACUUCUGCCUGAAGCUGGUGUGUGUCAUUUCCAUGCAUGAUCUUGUGCUUUCAGUACAUAUUUGUAUAUCCAAAACAAUAUUUACUAUUGUUUUGUGUGCAUUCUUAAUUUACAUAAAUGGCAUCAUAUUGUAAAUUCUCUUGCAACUUGGCUUUUCUUACUCAACAGUACAUUUUAGGGACUUAUUUAUGUUGUGUGGAUACAGUGUAGACCUAGUUCAUUCAUUUUAACUUAAUUGUGAAAUACCAUAGUUUACUUAUCCAUUUCCCUAUUGGGUAAAAUUAGUUAUUGCUUUAUUGUCGUUGUUGUUUAUUGCAAUGAACAUGCCUGUGCAUGCAUCUUUGUGCACGUGUUUGUUAGUGUAAAUGCCCUGAAGUGAAAUUGCUAAUUAGUAGGAAAUAUACUUCUGCACCUUCCUUAGCAGAGACAAAUUGUUCUCCCAAGUGGUUGUACCUAUUUGAACUCAUGCUAGAUUAGAAAUCCCUGUGUUCCUACAUCCUUACCAUCAUUUGUGAGGCUUUCAAUUUUUCUUAUCCAAUAAGUACAAAUGACAUUUUAUUUUUUUAAUUCACAUCUCUCUAAUUAUUCAUGAGCUUAAGCAUUUUUACAUGUUUACUAACCAGUUGUGUAUGUGCAUGUGUGUGCAUGUGAGAGAGAGAGAGAAAUAGGUUUUAAUCCUUUGUUCUUUUCUUAUAAAUUUAUAGUUGUAUUUAUUCUGAAGUUCUUAUCUGAGUUGAAAAGUGUUCUCACAAAUGGUAUCUUGCCUUUUAAUUUUGUUUAUGUCAUGUUCUAUUAUAAAUAGCUUUUUAAUUUUCAUGUAGUUAAAUUUAUAUGUCUUUUCAAGGUUUGUGGGCAUUUGUCCCUUAGUUAAUAAAUCUGUUUCUAACUCUACAUUCAAGAUAUUCUCCCACAUUGUUUUCUAAAAAUUCUAAAUUUUUUUUCCCUUCACAUUUAAAUUUUUGUCCAUCUGGAAUUUACUUUUGCUUAUGUGAUGAGUAGGGAUCUAAUUUUAUCUUUUUCCAAGCAGAAAGUUAAUUGUCAAGGAUGAUCCAGACUUUCCCGCUGUUUGAAAUGUCAUUUCUGGUGUUUUUUUUUUUUUUUUUU
Molecule: long non-coding RNA, 3782 nt
Filed under: Homo sapiens (human)
Lineage: Eukaryota; Metazoa; Chordata; Mammalia; Primates; Hominidae
Description: non-protein coding lnc-RPP30-2:2
Source: RNAcentral